This 452-nucleotide ribosomal RNA is filed under the name Catonella morbi. RNAcentral's name for it is "bacterial SSU rRNA". It matches the Rfam family "Bacterial small subunit ribosomal RNA", at positions 28 to 478 of the family's 1533-position model. Lineage: Bacteria; Bacillati; Bacillota; Clostridia; Lachnospirales; Lachnospiraceae. The record is from RNAcentral.
GAUGAACGCUGGCGGCGUGCCUAACACAUGCAAGUCGAACGGAGAUUACGGACGGAAGUUUUCGGAUGGAAGACUGUAAUUCUUAGUGGCGGACGGGUGAGUAACGCGUGGGCAACCUGCCCUAUACAGGGGGAUAGCAGCUGGAAACGGCUGGUAAGACCGCAUAAGUCGGUUAAAUCGCAUGAUUUGAUCGGGAAAUGAGCAAUCAGGUAUAGGAUGGGCCCGCGUCCGAUUAGCCAGUUGGCAGGGUAAAAGCCUACCAAAGCGACGAUCGGUAGCCGGACUGAGAGGUCGGACGGCCACAUUGGGACUGAGACACGGCCCAAACUCCUACGGGAGGCAGCAGUGGGGGAUAUUGCACAAUGGAGGAAACUCUGAUGCAGCGACGCCGCGUGAGUGAAGAAGUAUUUCGGUAUGUAAAGCUCUAUCAGCAGGGAAGAUGAUGACGGUAC